UGAGUUUGUUAUACGGUCGCGGCGUCUUUUAGACGAUGAGGAAAGUCCGAGCAGCACAGGACAGGGUGCCUGAUAACGUCAGGUGAAGGUGACUUUAAGGAAAGUGCAACAGAAAUAAACCGCAACGCUUUGCGUUGUAAGGAUGGAAAGGCGAGGUAAGAGCUCACCGAUAUCUUGGUAACAAGGUAUGCAAUGUAAACCCCACCCGCUGCAAGAUUGGGUUUCCGUCAUAUAGGGCUGUCCGUCCGACGGAUACCGUGAAUAUCGCUCGAGCUUGUCGGUGACGGCAAGCCUAGAUAAAUGACCGUACACGACAGAACUCGGCUUACAGACAGGCUCAAAUU
RNAcentral lists this RNase P RNA (344 nucleotides) under Clostridiales bacterium. Its description in RNAcentral is "RNase P RNA component class A". It matches the Rfam family "Bacterial RNase P class A". Rfam says of the family: Ribonuclease P (RNase P) is a ubiquitous endoribonuclease, found in archaea, bacteria and eukarya as well as chloroplasts and mitochondria. Its best characterised activity is the generation of mature 5'-ends of tRNAs by cleaving the 5'-leader elements of precursor-tRNAs. Lineage: Bacteria; Bacillati; Bacillota; Clostridia; Eubacteriales. The record is from RNAcentral.